GGGUGAGUAAUAUAUCGGAACGUGCCCAGUCGUGGAGGAUAACGCAGCGAAAGCUGUGCUAAUACCGCAUACGAUCUCUGGAUGAAAGCGGGGGACUCGCAAGAGCCUCGCGCGAUUGGAGCGGCCGAUAUCAGAUUAGCUAGUUGGCGGGGUAAAAGCCCACCAAGGCGACGAUCUGUAGCUGGUCUGAGAGGACGACCAGCCACACUGGAACUGAGACACGGUCCAGACUCCUACGGGAGGCAGCAGUGGGGAAUUUUGGACAAUGGGCGAAAGCCUGAUCCAGCAAUGCCGCGUGCAGGAUGAAGGCCUUCGGGUUGUAAACUGCUUUUGUACGGAACGAAACGGUCUGCCUUAAUACGGUGGGCUAAUGACGGUACCGUAAGAAUAAGCACCGGCUAACUACGUGCCAGCAGCCGCGGUAAUACGUAGGGUGCGAGCGUUAAUCGGAAUUACUGGGCGUAAAGCGUGCGCAGGCGGUUAUAUAAGACAGAUGUGAAAUCCCCGGGCUCAACCUGGGACCUGCAUUUGUGACUGUAUAGCUAGAGUACGGUAGAGGGGGAUGGAAUUCCGCGUGUAGCAGUGAAAUGCGUAGAUAUGCGGAGGAACACCGAUGGCGAAGGCAAUCCCCUGGACCUGUACUGACGC
This 648-nucleotide ribosomal RNA is filed under the name uncultured bacterium. Its description in RNAcentral is "bacterial SSU rRNA". It matches the Rfam family "Bacterial small subunit ribosomal RNA", at positions 104 to 746 of the family's 1533-position model. The record is from RNAcentral.